UACGAAGGGAGCUAGCGUUGUUCGGAAUUACUGGGCGUAAAGGGCGCGUAGGCGGCUUGAUAAGUUUGGUGUGAAAGCCCUGGGCUUAACCUAGGAAUAGCAUUGAAUACUGUCAGGCUAGAGGCCGAGAGAGGGAAAUGGAAUUGCGAGUGUAGAGGUGAAAUUCGUAGAUAUUCGCAAGAACACCAGUGGCGAAGGCGAUUUCCUGGCUCGGUACUGACGCUAAGGCGCGAAAGCGUGGGGAACAAACAGG
Molecule: ribosomal RNA, 253 nt
Filed under: uncultured bacterium
Lineage: Bacteria
Description: partial 16S ribosomal RNA
Rfam family: Bacterial small subunit ribosomal RNA
Source: RNAcentral